AAUCGAUCGCCUAUCGAGGCGCCCCCUUCCCUGGCUCGUGGUGAUUUUGCAAUUUUCAUAGCUCUCGAGAGCGGGUGUGGAGAGGACUUCGCAUUCACUUUGCAACCGGUACAGCAGGUUGCUGGAGUGGCCCCUGCAUGGCCCGUUCUUUUUCCAGCCACAUCCCCAAUCAAACUCUUGGCCCCGCGCCCCCUUCUCUUGUUACUUGGGAAACCAUUAUGCUUUUUAUACCCGUUACUCGUAGAGUAAGAGGGUAUACUAGAUUCGUCGGAAAGUAUGUAACAGGCAGAAAGAAGCGUUUCC
Molecule: long non-coding RNA, 303 nt
Organism: Drosophila subpulchrella
Lineage: Eukaryota; Metazoa; Arthropoda; Insecta; Diptera; Drosophilidae
Exons: 3
Source: RefSeq, a predicted model, not a curated record